GACGAACGCUGGCGGCGUGCCUAAUACAUGCAAGUCGAACGCUUCUUUCCUCCCGAGUGCUUGCACUCAAUUGGAAAGAGGAGUGGCGGACGGGUGAGUAACACUUGGGUAACCUACCCAUCAGAGGGGGAUAACACUUGGAAACAGGUGCUAAUACCGCAUAACAGUUUAUGCCGCAUGGCAUAAGAGUGAGAGGCGCUUUCGGGUGUCGCUGAUGGAUGGACCCGCGGUGCAUUAGCUAGUUGGUGAGGUAACGGCUCACCAAGGCCACGAUGCAUAGCCGACCUGAGAGGGUGAUCGGCCACACUGGGACUGAGACACGGCCCAGACUCCUACGGGAGGCAGCAGUAGGGAAUCUUCGGCAAUGGACGAAAGUCUGACCGAGCAACGCCGCGUGAGUGAAGAAGGUUUUCGGAUCGUAAAACUCUGUUGUUAGAGAAGAACAAGGACGUUAGUAACUGAACGUCCCCUGACGGUAUCUAACCAGAAAGCCACGGCUAACUACGUG
This 508-nucleotide ribosomal RNA is filed under the name uncultured bacterium. RNAcentral's name for it is "partial 16S ribosomal RNA". It matches the Rfam family "Bacterial small subunit ribosomal RNA", at positions 28 to 507 of the family's 1533-position model. The record is from RNAcentral.